This 349-nucleotide long non-coding RNA is filed under the name Mytilus galloprovincialis (Mediterranean mussel). The record is from RNAcentral. Lineage: Eukaryota; Metazoa; Mollusca; Bivalvia; Mytilida; Mytilidae.
UUAUAAAAAUGACCACAUAAUUGAUAUUCAAGUCAACACCGAAGUGCUGACUACUGGGCUGGUGAUACCCUCGGGGACGAAACGUCCACCAGCAGAGACAUCGACCCAGUGGUGUAAAUAGUUAUCAAAUACAGGAUUAUAAUUUAGUACGCCAGACGCGCGUUUCGUCUACAUAAGACUCAUCAGUGACGCUCAUAUCAAAAUAGUUAUAAACCAAACAAAUACAAAGUUGAAGAGCAUUGAGAAUCCAAAAUUCCAAAAAGUUGUGCCAAAUACGGCUAAGGGAAUCUAUGCCUGUUAUAAGAAAAUUCUUAGUUUUUCAAAAAAAUCAAAGUUUUGUAAACAGGAA